GCCGGGUGCGGUGGCGCGCGCCUGUAAUCCAAGCUACCGGGAGGCUGAGGCUGGCGGAUCGCUUGAGCUCAGGAGCUCUGAGCUGCAGCGGACUAUGUCGAUCGGGUGUCCGCACUAAGUUCGGUAUCGAUAUGGUGCUCCUGGGGGAGCCCGGGACCACCAGGUCGUCUAAGGAGGGGUGCACCGGCCCAGGUCGGAAACGGAGCAGGUCAAAGCCCCCGUGCCGCUCAGUAGUGGGAUCGCGCCUGUGAAUAGACGCUGUAGUGCAGCCUGAGUAACACAGCGGGACCCAGUCUUUU
Molecule: signal recognition particle RNA, 299 nt
Filed under: Larimichthys crocea (large yellow croaker)
Lineage: Eukaryota; Metazoa; Chordata; Actinopteri; Sciaenidae
Description: Metazoan signal recognition particle RNA (ENSLCRG00005020165.1)
Rfam family: Metazoan signal recognition particle RNA
About the family: The signal recognition particle (SRP) is a universally conserved ribonucleoprotein. It is involved in the co-translational targeting of proteins to membranes.
Source: RNAcentral